This 863-nucleotide ribosomal RNA is filed under the name metagenome. Its description in RNAcentral is "bacterial SSU rRNA". It matches the Rfam family "Bacterial small subunit ribosomal RNA", at positions 658 to 1520 of the family's 1533-position model. The record is from RNAcentral.
AGAUGGGAUUCCUGGUGUAGCGGUGGAAUGCGCAGAUAUCAGGAGGAACACCAAUGGCGAAGGCACAUCUCUGGGCUGUAACUGACGCUGAGGAGCGAAAGCGUGGGGAGCGAACAGGAUUAGAUACCCUGGUAGUCCACGCCGUAAACGGUGGGUGCUAGCUGUGGGCCACCAUUCCACGUGGUCUGUGUCGCAGCUAACGCAUUAAGCACCCCGCCUGGGGAGUACGGCCGCAAGGCUAAAACUCAAAGGAAUUGACGGGGGCCCGCACAAGCGGCGGAGCAUGCGGAUUAAUUCGACGCAACGCGAAGAACCUUACCAAGGCUUGACAUAUAGAGGAAAAGUGUAGAAAUACACUCCCCGCAAGGUCUCUAUACAGGUGGUGCAUGGUUGUCGUCAGCUCGUGUCGUGAGAUGUUGGGUUAAGUCCCGCAACGAGCGCAACCCUCGUCCUAUGUUGCCAGCACGUAAUGGUGGGAACUCAUGGGAUACUGCCGGGGUCAACUCGGAGGAAGGUGGGGAUGACGUCAAAUCAUCAUGCCCCUUAUGUCUUGGGCUUCACGCAUGCUACAAUGGCCGGUACAGAGGGCUGCAAUACCGCAAGGUGGAGCGAAUCCCAAAAAGCCGGUCUCAGUUCGGAUUGAGGUCUGCAACUCGACCUCAUGAAGUCGGAGUCGCUAGUAAUCGCAAAUCAGCAACGUUGCGGUGAAUACGUUCCCGGGCCUUGUACACACCGCCCGUCAAGUCAUGAAAGUCGGUAACACCCGAAGCCGGUGGCCCAACCUUUUGGAGGGAGCUGUCGAAGGUGGGAUCGGUGAUUAGGACUAAGUCGUAACAAGGUAGCCGUACCGGAAGGUGCGGCUG